This is an RNA transcript of Zea mays, 2640 nucleotides long. RefSeq lists it as uncharacterized. The transcript is spliced from 10 exons. The record is from RefSeq and is a predicted model, not a curated record. Lineage: Eukaryota; Viridiplantae; Streptophyta; Magnoliopsida; Poales; Poaceae.
CCUCGCUCGCGCCACCGAAAACCAAACGAGGAAAAAUGCCGUCCCCGUCCCUCCUCCUCCGCGCUCCUCCUCUCUGCCCCUCCCCGUCCCACCCCCCGCGCCGCUUCGCUCCCCCCUCCCUCAUCACCUCGUCUCCGCCUGCCCGCCUCCUCCCUCUGCGCCUGCCCUCCGCCGCGUCCCGCCACACGCCUCGCGCCGGUGACACGCGCGUGCCCGACGACCUCAUCCCGAUCGCGCGCUGCUACGAGGGCCGCCUUGCUCGACUCGAGCUCGCCGGCGCCGCGCGCCGGGAACAGGCCGUCGCGGCAGCGGCCGCGGCCGGCGGAGGGGCUUCGGCGGAGGACCACCUCGCCGCCGGCUCCGACGCCAUGGUCGUCGAGGCAUUCCUCCCCGGGCCCCAUGGCGGUGGGACGACCGCUUCCUCCACGCGAGUGAUUUUGCAAGCCAAGGAAGUUAAAGAUAAGGCCAGUAAGAUAGAGAAACAGUUCGGAUCUGAUUUUUUCUUUGCAAAUCAACCUGAUUCAGAGAGUAUGUUGGCUAUGGCCUUUAAGCAAGUUGUAAUUCAGCGGCUCUCAAACUUUCGGCUCGAGGUCUUCCCCCCAGGUUCAGAGAGAGACUUCCAAGAUUUUGGCAAACCCCGAAAGGGGUCUUUGGAUUGUAGUAUCAGCUCAUCAGAUGGAAAACUUCUGUCUUCUCUUGCUGAGGCCAUUUUCUCCUGUGUCAUUGAGGAUGUCAGAAAAAAUCAUUUUGGGAGCAUAGGCAGUUUUUUUCAGAAGCGACAGCUCAACUGCUCAAUGGAUUCCUCAGUUUGUAUACACAAAACUUCUGAGGCAGAAGUAGUGAAAAAUGCUAAGAGGUGUCUGGAGAUCGUUAGUUUAAUGAAGUCUUCUCAUGAAGUACGUGAAACAAAGAAUGGAUGGUGGCCACCUCCACAUCAUGAAAGUUUGGUGAAGAUUGGGGGUCCUGAGUUAGUGCUUUGGGCCAAUGAGUACAUUCCUACUUAUAAGCUGCAAAUUAAUGCCAACGCAUUGGAGAAUUCUAAUCUUGAAGUUGAAGGUCUUUAUGAGUUAGAAAGUAAUAGGCGGGAAGUUCUCUUAACCCACUCACAACUGGUGGAACUAGGGAACGUUCUAGACAUGUACUUUGAAGAUCAAUUCACAUUACCAGGCAAAACAUUCCAUCCUUAUUGGAAUCCAGAUCUGUCAAAGAUUAAAAAGAACAAUGGUUACUUGAACAACCUUUUCACUUUUUUGGCUGGGACCUGUAUUUUUCUUUUUGUCACCAUCUUUGCUCAGUUAUGCUGGCCUCAAUCCUUUAGAGACAAAAGGCUAUUCAAGGAAAGUUCAAAUGCCUCAUUAUCUCAGAACUAUUGUUCCGAUAUCAAGUCUCUUUAUAACAGUGAGGUACAAGCUUAUUGCAUGUCACUUGUUAAGAAAAUGAAAGACUCGUAUGGCUGCCCUGGUGAUGUAAUGGUUGAUUCUCACAUUGGAGCAUGGGUUGGAGAACUACCUAACUGCUUCAAGGCAAUCAGUAGUGAGGAUGCUGCUGCUUCUGGCUCUUUUCAGUAUCCUGACACUCUUAGCCAAGAAAAUCAAUCCCAGCCAGUGCCAGUUAAUACUAAGAUGUCUCAUUUGGAACAAAAUGAUAGAACCCAGGAAUUUCCUCUGCAGAAUAUUGCUAGUUUUCAGGUGGUCAUGUCAGAAGAAGGUAAAGUAGUGGGAUUUCAGCCAACUAACCUCCCAGCUGUGAACCAUUGGGCAACAAACCCACUAGCAACACUUCUGUAUCAAGGACGGUCACUUUCUCCAGGCAUUAUAGAACCCAGGCUCAAAAUUUCUCGUCCAGCUAAGGCUGCCCCGAUCGAAUUAUUGAUGUCAGUAAAUCAAGAUUCCUUUUUUGCUUUGGCAAGGCCUGUUGAAGACCCAAGGUAGCAGAGCGAGCUUCCUCAGAUUGAUUCUACUGCAAGAUUGUGAACAGUUCCAAAGAUGUGAAACGAAACAAAUAGUGGCAGCUGAGCCUGAACAGGAUUUAACAAGGUGCCUGAGUUAUGAGAAAGAAAUCGACUAAUGGGCCCCAUCAUUUUAAGUAAGAUGCCGGAGGAGUGGUGGUGGCUGACGUGAAGAAGAAAUUCCACUAGUAUCCCGUCGGAGUGCAGGAGGAGCGAUCGGAGGGGCACAACAAACGUGGGAAAUUGGGCACCCGGAGACUAUGACCCAUAAGCCCUCCAGCUCUCUAUGGUUGAACACUUGAACUAUAAAGUCUUAUAUUCAGAAGUAUCUACCGAGUAGGAUCAAACACCAUUCGAGUACUUUCUUGGGAGAAACCAUGACCACUCUUCAAAUCUUCAAGUCUUCUAUAUUUGUCACCAUACUAUGAAGAGUCUGUUGUGCAAUUCUGAUGUUUUUUUCGAAGAACUUUGAACGCAUCGUGAUGAUAUCUAUCCCGUGGCACCUAAGCCUAAAAUUGGCUUACACCAAGCCAAUUAUAGGGUCUCCUAAGUUAAUUAUAGGGUCUUGAACAUCCUUCAAAUUGGCUACCCUGUGUCAGCUACAGGGUCUUACAUCCUUAGUGAUAUUGAUGAGUAAUGAUCGCUUGUUAUUUUUUUUUUUUUUGGUAAAAAUAACCCUUGGCAAUUUCAUA